This 65-nucleotide transfer RNA is filed under the name Fasciola hepatica (liver fluke). RNAcentral's name for it is "tRNA-Leu". Lineage: Eukaryota; Metazoa; Platyhelminthes; Trematoda; Plagiorchiida; Fasciolidae. The record is from RNAcentral.
ACAUGAGUGCCAGAUUAUAUGGGUUGGUUUUAAGCGUCAAAUAUGGGGUUUGCCCCUCGUGUGUU